GAUGAACGCUGGCGGCGUGCCUAAUACAUGCAAGUCGAGCGAACGGACGAGAAGCUUGCUUCUCUGAUGUUAGCGGCGGACGGGUGAGUAACACGUGGAUAACCUACCUAUAAGACUGGGAUAACUUCGGGAAACCGGAUCUAAUACCGGAUGAUAUUUUGAACCGCAUGGUUCAAAAGUGAAAGACGGUCUUGCUGUCACUUAUAGAUGGAUCCGCGCUGCAUUAGCUAGUUGGUAAGGUAACGGCUUACCAAGGCAACGAUGCAUAGCCGACCUGAGAGGGUAAUCGGCCACACUGGAACUGAGACGCGGUCCAGGCUCCUACGGGAGGCAGCAGUAGGGAAUCUUCCGCAAUGGGCGGAAGCCUGACGGAGCAACGCCGCGUGAGUGAUGAAGGUCUUCGGAUCGUAAAACUCUGUUAUUAGGGAAGAACAUAUGUGUAAGUAACUGUGCACAUCUUGACGGUACCUAAUCAGAAAGCCACGGCUAACUACGUG
Molecule: ribosomal RNA, 497 nt
Filed under: uncultured bacterium
Lineage: Bacteria
Description: partial 16S ribosomal RNA
Rfam family: Bacterial small subunit ribosomal RNA
Source: RNAcentral